GGUUUUAUGGUUGAAGUAACAAUGUCGAAUUGCAGAUUCGAAGGUGCCUAAUCGGUUAAAACUU
RNAcentral lists this transfer RNA (64 nucleotides) under Acanthopleura loochooana. RNAcentral's name for it is "tRNA-Cys". Lineage: Eukaryota; Metazoa; Mollusca; Polyplacophora; Chitonida; Chitonidae. The record is from RNAcentral.